Long non-coding RNA from Peromyscus maniculatus bairdii (prairie deer mouse), 1799 nucleotides. RefSeq lists it as uncharacterized. The record is from RefSeq and is a predicted model, not a curated record. NCBI's taxonomy places the organism in Eukaryota, Metazoa, Chordata, Mammalia, Rodentia, Cricetidae.
AAGUGAUAUAAGCAUCUGAGUGAUUAUUUUAUAAGUGGAUUGUGGGACUGCGGGGCUUGGGGAACCUGGAGAGAAGCCCUCCAGCAACAGAGGACAUUAUAGUGCCUAUCCCUACUUCUUUUUAUUGGCCAUGAGUAUUGGAGUUCUUUAAUUUUUUUUAUAAUGUUAUAUUCUGCUAUUUAUUUAUUUAUAUAUGUGUGUGUGUGUGUGUGUGUGUGUGUGUGUGUGUGUGUGUGUGUGUCUGCGUGUGUAUGGAGGUCAGAAGAUAAUUUACAAAAAUCAAUUCCCCUAUUUUUGGGGAUCAAACUCAGGUCAUCAGGCUUGGUGGCAAGUGCCUUUACCCAAUGAGCCAUCUUACUGGCCCUGGAGUUCUUGAGAAAUAAAGAAAUGCAGAGACAUCUAGCAGAAGAAGGCUCUUUGAAAAGUUCACGUGUUGCCUAUCAAGUUUCCUGCAUUUGGAGAAAUUGCAGGGGUCAGCUCAGCACAUCUGGAGUGCAAUGGAUAAGACUCACCCUAGGAGGGCCACCUUGUGAUCAUGGUAUCUCCCCUUCUAAUUUUUAAAGGCCCUGGAAACCUGCACCGGUCAGACCCACAGAACACACCAUAGUGAAAGAUAAAACCGGAGCUUUGUAACUGGAGACGAGUUUCACUGAGCUUCACCACCGAGCUGGGUCAAGUGUGCCAGCCACCUCACUUGGCUAAGCUUCAGGGCUCUCAUGAGCAAAUGAAAGAAUAUGUUGUACUAGGAAAAAGCACAGUGUUUGAGAUUCCGAACAUUUGGGGCCACCAGCAAUCGCGUGUGUAGCUUACCAGCUGAGAACAUAUCAUUUAACAGCUUCUCCAAGAUGAAGGGGUGAAUUAUGUUCAUCAGACACGAGCUCUUUGGGCCACCUCAUCUUAUGAGCAGCAGCAGUGGUCAAGUGCAUCUCUGGAAUGCUAUAGAGCAGGAUGCAGAACUUCACUUUGAACCUGGGCAAGACCCUUCAGCCCUUAUAGGAAACCUUUGAAAGUUCGAUGAUACUUCACAGAGAAACAACUUGGAAUGAUGGAGACCCACACUGACUUUCUUCCUACCUCAGGACAUAGAGGGAAGUAGAGCAGAAAGCAGAAUCUUUCUUGAUUUAUUUUUACUUGGGUGGCUCUGGAAGUUACUCAAAACCUACGUCCUCCAUAAAAGACAGAACCAAAAGCAGCGUAAGCUGCAGCUUAAGCAGAAACUACCAACUGGACUGUUUUCCCGAGUCCACCUCCAGCCUUUGGGGUGGGCUGUUACACCAAGCUCAAAGCGCAUCUUAUACAUCUUAGGGUUGCCAACGCAGGAAGAGUGCGUAGGGAGCGUCUGGUCUGGACAUCUUCUUGAUGCUGUUCCCUUGUUCAAACACUUUCAUUACGUUUCCAGUGUUUCAGUGAGACCUGAAUCCUUCACACGCUGUAUGAAACCCCUCUAGUUCUGUCUCGCUCGCCUGUCUCAGCUGUUACCAGCAAGGCGACUGCCAGCAGCUGCCCCAUCAGAUCUCUGUGCAAUGACUGGUCUGUCUCGGGCACAGGACUUGGCACACAUUGCUCCUUUUAAGGCUUGAAGGGCAUCAAGGAAGGCGGGACUACCACCGUAUAGGCUUCAGAGAACAAUGGUGACAGCCUCAUUUGUCAGUCUGAGAACCGCAAGCUUGCUAGGUGGACUCCCUGAAACAUGAUAAACUAAUUUUUGUAGAAAUGAAUUGCUUUGGAAGGCCUUGCUCUUUAUGGGGGUUAAGGGAGAUCACACUCUAGCAACUCAACAUUUGAGUUGAAAUAAAUGG